CUACUAUUCAGGAAAUUAAAUCUGGCACCGUGUCCCCCGGACGCAGUGGAUUGAUAAGAUGCGAAGGUGCAGGUGUGCCGCCUCCGGCCUUUGAAUGGUACAAAGGAGAAAAGAAGCUCUUCAAUGGCCAACAAGGAAUUACUAUUCAAAAUUUUAGCACAAGAUCCAUUCUCACUGUCACCAAUGUGACACAGGAGCACUUCGGCAACUAUACUUGUGUGGCUGCCAACAAGCUGGGCACGACCAAUGCGAGCCUGCCUCUCAACCCUCCAAGCACGGCCCAGUAUGGAAUUACCGGGAGCGCCGACGUUCUUUUCCCCUGCUGGUACCUUGUGUUGACACUGUCCUCUUUCACCAGCCUAUUCUACCUGAAGAAUGCCAUUCUACAAUAAAUUUAAAGACCCAUAAAAGGCUUUUACGAAUUCUCUGAAAGUGCUGAUGGCUGGCUCCAAUCUGGUGCAGUUUGUUAGAACAGCGUGGGAUGUGAUCAGCAGUGCUUACGUGGGGAUGAUGGCCUUCUGUAGAAUUGCUCAUUAUGUAAAUACUUUCAUUCUACUCUUUUUUUUUUUUUUU
Molossus molossus (Pallas's mastiff bat) is the source of this 573-nucleotide long non-coding RNA. RefSeq lists it as uncharacterized. The record is from RefSeq and is a predicted model, not a curated record. Lineage: Eukaryota; Metazoa; Chordata; Mammalia; Chiroptera; Molossidae. The transcript is spliced from 3 exons.